UGCACACCUGCCAUGUGCCAGGAGCUGCCCCUACUAUGUGAGAAGAAUGGCAAUUAUGAAUAAGACGCAGUCCGUGCGCAUCUUGAGUGACAGCUAGACCAGGACACUGCAGCCAGUGCUGACUGUAAGGGGCCCAGAUCUACUUAAAAUGCUGGAUAAUCA
This 162-nucleotide long non-coding RNA is filed under the name Capra hircus (goat). RNAcentral's name for it is "lncRNA (ENSCHIG00010031398.1)". Lineage: Eukaryota; Metazoa; Chordata; Mammalia; Artiodactyla; Bovidae. The record is from RNAcentral.